UGAAGCAUACAGGCAGGCUGGAGAUGAGAUGCCACUGUUAUCUUGGAGGUGAGAAAGAGCAGAAGAAAGUGGAAGCGGAGAAAAAGUCUGUGGAAGAAGGAUGAAGAGAUCUGAGCCACUGAAUAUUAUUGGAAAUAAUCUAUCAUACUCACCAAUAAGCAGCUGCACUAUGUUGGAGCCUGCAUACUUCCUCACAUCCUCGAUCCAGCGAGGAAUAGACUGGAAAGAACCCCGCUUGCUGAUAUCAUAGGCCAGGAUCGCUCCAUUGGCGCUUCGGUAAUAACUCUGGGUAAUAGUCCGAAACCUUUCCUGGCCAGCUGUGUCCCAGAUCUGCAACUAAAGGAAAUCAAAAAGAAGGUGAUCACUUCCCCUUCAGUUAUAAGGCUUUUGAACCAUCUCUAACUGUACAAAUCAUAGAAUCACAGAGUUGGAAGAGACGACAAGGGUUAUCCAGUCCAACCCUCUGCCGUGCAGGAACUCACA
Molecule: long non-coding RNA, 483 nt
Organism: Sceloporus undulatus (fence lizard)
Lineage: Eukaryota; Metazoa; Chordata; Lepidosauria; Squamata; Phrynosomatidae
Exons: 3
Source: RefSeq, a predicted model, not a curated record